CAGCAGCCGCGGUAAUACCGGCGGCCCGAGUGGCGGCCACUAUUAUUGGGCUUAAAGCGUCCGUAGCCGGGUUGGUUAGUCUCCCGGGAAAUCUGGCCGCUUAACGGUCAGAAUUCCGGGAGAUACUGCCAGCCUAGGGACCGGGAGAGGCCGAGGGUAUUCCCGGAGUAGGGGUGAAAUCCUAUAAUCCCGGGAGGACCACCUGUGGCGAAGGCGCUCGGCUGGAACGGGUCCGACGGUGAGGGAUGAAGGCCAGGGGAGCAAACCGGAUUAGAUACCCGGGUAGUCCUGGCUGUAAACGAUGCGGACUUUGUGUCGGACAAGCUAUGAGCUUGUCCGGUGCCGGAGGGAAACCGUUAAGUCCGCCGCCUGGGGAGUACGGCCGCAAGGCUGAAACUUAAAGGAAUUGGCGGG
RNAcentral lists this ribosomal RNA (414 nucleotides) under uncultured microorganism. RNAcentral's name for it is "bacterial SSU rRNA". It matches the Rfam family "Archaeal small subunit ribosomal RNA", at positions 459 to 872 of the family's 1478-position model. The record is from RNAcentral.